AUUGAACGCUGGCGGCAGGCUUAACACAUGCAAGUCGAGCGGGGUGAUGGUGCUUGCACUAUCACUUAGCGGCGGACGGGUGAGUAAUGCUUAGGAAUUGGCCGAUUAGUGGGGGACAACAAUUCGAACGGGAUGCUAAUAGCGCAUACGUUGUACGGGAGAAAGCAGGGGAUCACCUGUGACCUUGCGAUAAUAGAUGAGCCUAAGUCGGAUUGACGAGUUGGUGGGGUAAAGGCCUACCAAGGCGACGAUCUGUAGCGGGUCUGAGAGGAUGAUCCGCCACACUGGGACUGAGACACGGCCCAGACUCCUACGGGAAGCAGCAGUGGGGAAUAUUGGACAAUGGGGGGAACCCUGAUCCAGCCAUGCCGCGUGUGUGAAGAAGGCCUUAUGGUUGUAAAGCACUUUAAGCGAGGAGGAGGCUCUUUUGGUUAAUACCCAAGAUGAGUGGACGUUACUCGCAGAAUAAGCACCGGCUAACUCUGUGCCAGCCGCCGCAGUAA
RNAcentral lists this ribosomal RNA (503 nucleotides) under uncultured bacterium. RNAcentral describes it as "partial 16S ribosomal RNA". It matches the Rfam family "Bacterial small subunit ribosomal RNA", at positions 30 to 523 of the family's 1533-position model. The record is from RNAcentral.